Molecule: ribosomal RNA, 433 nt
Filed under: uncultured bacterium
Lineage: Bacteria
Description: partial 16S ribosomal RNA
Rfam family: Bacterial small subunit ribosomal RNA
Source: RNAcentral
AACGAACGCUGGCGGCAUGCCUAACACAUGCAAGUCGAACGAGACCUUCGGGUCUAGUGGCGCACGGGUGCGUAACGCGUGGGAACCUGCCCUUAGGUUCGGAAUAACUCCCCGAAAGGGGUGCUAAUACCGGAUAAUGUCUUAGGACCAAAGAUUUAUCGCCUUUGGAUGGGCCCGCGUUGGAUUAGCUAGUUGGUAGGGUAAAAGCCUACCAAGGCGACGAUCCAUAGCUGGUCUGAGAGGAUGAUCAGCCACACUGGGACUGAGACACGGCCCAGACUCCUACGGAGAGGAGCAGUGGAGAAUAUAGGACGAGGGGCGAAAGCCUGAUCCAGCAAUGCCGCGUAAGUGAGGAAGGCCGUAGGGUUGUAAAGCUCUUUUACCCGGGAUGAUAGUGACGGUACCGGGAGAAUAAGCUCCGGCUAACUCCGUG